AAAGUCCUGGGAUUACAGGCGUGAGCCACCACGCCCAGUCCAGAUAAACACUUACGGUCACUCCGCAGUUACAGAGGGUGACUUGAAGUAGGGAGACAGGCAGUGCCUGGAGGGACAUGGGACAGGCAUGCCAACCCCCACUCACCCAUCGGAAGUCGGCCCGAGGCCCGAGGGUUCCCUUCUCAGGGCAGCCCUUCCCAGCUGCCUUGCCUCUGGCUCUCAGAGCCCCGUGUGCCCCUCCUUUGUGGCUCCUGGCACAACUGCAGUUGAUUAUCCCCGGGUGGCGACUUGCUGGCUGCCUGUUUCUCCCACCAGACCAGAGUUUCUCAGCCUUGGCACAGUUGACAUUUGGGGCUGGAUAACUGGUUGUGAGGGGUCAUCUGUGCAGUCGGAUGUUGAGCGGCAUCCCUGGCCUGGACAUGCCCGAUGCCAGAGGCAUCCCCCAGUCAUGACAACCAGACUGUCUCUAGAAAUUGCCAGGUGUCCCUGGGAGAUGGACUCACCCCUGGUUGAGAACCACUGGCAGGGAUUAUGGCAGGAAAAGUAAAAUGGGUCACUGAUAUCGAGAAGUCAGUGCUGAUCAAUAACUUUGAAAAGAGAGGAUGGGUCCAAGUGACAGAAAACGAGGACUGGAAUUUUUACUGGUAAGCACGCACAGCAGGGUGGGGUUGUUUCUCUGAGACUUACGUAUCGGUUUUACUAAUUCCAGUGCCCUGCAGAGAGUGGCCUCAGAGCUGGUGUCUCCCGUCGUUGUGCUGUCUCCCUGCACACGUUUUUCCUUAAGGCUCUUUGUGAGAGAAUGUGUUGUGGUGUGUUCCCACGUCACUGUGUUCAGCCUGGGGUAUGAAGUCUGGGGUGUUUCACCUCAGCAACCCUGUGGGGAAUUUGGGUGAGAAACAAGAGCCUCAGGCUUCCCCUUCCAGUGAGCAUCCAUUGUAGUUGGGCCAGAGGACAGGACAGAGUCUUGCUCUGUCACCCAGGCUGGAGUGCAAUGGUGCCAUCUCAGCUCACUACAGUCUCCGCUUCCUGGGUUCAAGUGAUUCUCCUGCCUCAGGCUCCCAAGUACCUGGGAUUACAGGCGCUACCACACCUGGCUAAUUUUUUUGUUUUUUUUUUGUUUUUGUUUUUUUUUUUUUGAGACGUAGUCUUGCUCUGUCGCCCGAGCUGGAGUGCAGUGGCCAGAUCUCAGCUCACUGCAAGCUCCGCCUCCCGGGUUUACACCAUUCUCCUGCCUCAGCCUCCCGAGUAGCUGGGACUACAGGCGCCCGCCACCUCGCCCGGCUAGUUUUUUUGUAUUUUUAGUAGAGACGGGGUUUCACCGUGUUAGCCAGGAUGGUCUCGAUCUCCUGCCUCAGCCUCCCGAGUAGCU
RNAcentral lists this long non-coding RNA (1369 nucleotides) under Piliocolobus tephrosceles (Ugandan red Colobus). RNAcentral's name for it is "lncRNA (ENSPTEG00000004121.1)". Lineage: Eukaryota; Metazoa; Chordata; Mammalia; Primates; Cercopithecidae. The record is from RNAcentral.